UUUGAGGCACGCAACACAGAUCUCGCGCUGUCCGUACUUGUGAAACAAACACAAACCAAAACACCCGGCUUUUCUGGGAAGACACGGCUCGCCUUCACUUUUUUUGGGGACAAUAACACCAUGGAUGCCUUGAGAGCAGUCGCUUUUUACACGCUCUUCAUUUUCCUUUGGAGUUUACAGUAUUGCCAGUCAGCUGCGCUUAUAUCGCAGAAAAGGAGCAAGGGUGCCAGGAGCGCGUAUGAUGGACAAAGUUCACCCAAAUUUCUUAAAGAGAUUUUCGCAUCCUCCCCGGGAGCGGGUCGCCUGGAUGAUUUAAAGGACCCGGUUGUGCCUCACGAUUACAUGAUUUUUUUUUUAAGGGCUUAUUACUCCGCUGAUGAAAUGGGUGUGGAUGAGUGCGUUUUUUUUGCUCUUUUAAGUGUGUGAAAACAAUAUAGAGAGUUUUGUAGACAGGGGAAAAGACAAUCUCACGCUCUCUCCUUUGCUAAGACAAACGUAUCUGUUUGAUGUCUCAACUCUCUCAAACAAAGAGGAGCUGGUCGGUGCUGAAUUAAGGAUAUUUCGCAAAGCGCCCGGGGAUGUCCAACCGUCCCCAUUAGGCGUCUACACUCUUCAUCUACUCUCGUGUCGAUCAGAGAGGCCACUGGCUUCCAGAUCCCUUGAUCUUCAGGAUACCCGAAAAGCAGAAUGGGAGGUUCUGGACGUUUGGGGAAUUUUUAAAAACAGACACCAAAGGAAUCGGCUUUGUCUCCAGCUCAAGGUUACGCAUAGCAAAUCUGACACCGAAAUCGACCUAAAUCAACUGGGUUUCCACCGGCACGGCCGAACGCAGCAAGAAAAGGCCAUAUUGGUGGUCUACUCGCGGUCUAGGAAAAGAGAAAACUUGUUUAAUGAGAUGAAAGAGAAGAUCAAGUCUCGCGGAUACGACGAUGAGGAUGAGGAGAGCGCGCUACAGUUUAAAGCGCGGCGCAGACGGAGAACUGCGCUCAAUAAUCGCCAUGGGAAACGGCAUGGCAAAAAGUCCAAAUCGAGAUGCAGCAAAAAGGCACUGCACGUCAAUUUCAAAGAGCUGGGAUGGGACGACUGGAUCAUCGCUCCGCUGGAUUACGAAGCAUACCACUGCGAGGGCGUGUGCGACUUCCCAUUGAGGUCGCACCUGGAGCCGACCAACCACGCCAUCAUUCAGACGCUUAUGAACUCCAUGGACCCCAACAGCACGCCGCCGAGCUGUUGCGUCCCCACAAAACUCAGCCCCAUCAGUAUACUAUACAUAGACUCCGGCAACAACGUCGUGUACAAACAGUACGAGGACAUGGUGGUAGAACAGUGUGGCUGUAGGUAGCGAAUCACACACGAGGGUUUGGCACCAAGGCAUAAAACACUUGAACGACGCGUAAAGACGCGCUUGAACCGCCCUAACUGCGUAUUAUCACUUAUGCAAAAGGGAUUCUUCAUCAGAGACAUUUUUGACGAUUUAAAAGAUUUCCACAGGCCACUGUUCUUGGUUGUGCCAAGAGCUUGUGUACAGUUUCUCUAGACUUGGAAAAAUCUUGCUUUAGAAGGUUUGUCGUCAUUUUUCCUUACACAUGCUGGGUUUCCUUUUGUAAUUACGUGUCCAAAAAAACCUAAGUAUCUCUUUAACGUGUCGUCUCUCGGACGAGGCAGGUAGAAUUAACGCCAGAUUUAGUGCGUAACCGUCUGGACACGAUUCACUGAGGAUUGUGUUACACCAUUAUCUCCGUGGACUCAGAAGAAUGUGGAGACGGGCACCUGUUCAAACUCAUCUGUUAGUUAUGUGGAUAAGAUACUUUAUGGUAUAUGGAUAAUGAAAGAGCAAAACGCAGUGCCCUGGAAACGCUUUUUUUUUACGACCACUGGAGCGUAAUCGAGUCAUAUUCAGCUUUUGGGGGCAAAGGUGAAUGUACCAAACAUUAAAUAAGGCAUAAAGCGAUUCUACAGAGAGAAAGAGAGAGACUGACUGAUGACUUACUGAUGCUUUUUUGAGGACAACGUUCUCGAGUUAAGGUUUUUUUUUAUUUUAUUUUAUUUUUUAUUAUUAUUAUUU
Molecule: RNA transcript, 2065 nt
Organism: Cyprinus carpio (common carp)
Lineage: Eukaryota; Metazoa; Chordata; Actinopteri; Cypriniformes; Cyprinidae
Gene name: growth/differentiation factor 6-A-like
Exons: 2
Source: RefSeq, a predicted model, not a curated record